Long non-coding RNA from Phascolarctos cinereus (koala), 1285 nucleotides. RefSeq lists it as uncharacterized. Lineage: Eukaryota; Metazoa; Chordata; Mammalia; Diprotodontia; Phascolarctidae. The record is from RefSeq and is a predicted model, not a curated record.
CAUGACAACCCUCCAACUCCAAACACCCAUCAUGGAGCCGGCAGCGACAAGGCCACUCCCUGACCGAGCUCACAGAAGGUGGUGAUGUAGGCAAUGUCCAUGGCUGUCCCAGCAGCCCUCAUAGCCAUCAGGAAGCCAAGAGAAGGGUCAGACUUGUUUAACCUCCCUGGGAUGGGAGUAUUUGACUUGCCUAAGGCCAGAGAACCAGACAGGAGUGGAAAUGAGCCCUUCAGCCCAGGCUGCUCUCUGGACCCCGCUUCACAUCCAGCCUGGGAAGCCAUGACUUCCUCCAUCUCACCUUUUGGCAAGUGAGGCUGUGACGGACCUUGACCAAUGCAGUUGAGUGUAUCCUGGACGGGGAGGAGGGGUGAGCAGGGAUUAAGUGGAACGGUUGGGCUGCUCCAAGAACAUCCAUUUAUCAGCCCAGCAUCCCCUGCUCUUUUGGGCUUGUAAGCCUGGAUCAUUGGAUGAAAUGGAGCGAGGAGCCAGUCCAACAACUACAGGUCCCCGCAGGGGCUCGCGUUCUGACAACUUCAUUCCCCACGAUGUUAAAGGCCCAGGCCCCUGUCUCUUCAGAAUCCACCAGGAAAACGUAUUCCUUCCCGAGGCUGCUCCUUGCCAGACAAGCUGGGGGAGGCAGAAGCUGCCAGACUCAGCCUGGAGGAGGGAGCUGGAUUCCUGUCCCGGCACAAAGGAACAGCAAACCCCAGUCCUCUGCCUGUUUCACAAAACAUGACAAACGCACCAUCCUGGAGAGGCUGCCCAAGCCCGGGGCCAAAGGCUCCCCUGGCCAGCUUUGCUGAGCCCAGCCUCGCACGACUUUAGAGCAUCGAUCCGUCACACGGAGCGCUUUCUGGGUGUGCCCCCACGGCCUGACGCGCCCCACAAAGCCCGCACGCUUCGGCAUCCAAAGCGGUGACCCAGCGGACCGUCUUGAUAUUGUAUCAACCAUUCUUGCCGAGCCCCAGAAGGCCCGCUCGCUUCUGUGACGCCGGCGAAGGCUGGGGCCCGGCCUGGAACCGCGACAGAGAAAACAAAUCAGGCUCUUGGCUCUGGAGAGUACCUGGCCUCGCACCGUGCUGUGUCUCUGAGCCUGGGCCAUUCCAAACAUGAAUGGUCGGAGGAGUGGAGAACUCAGGGCAGGGGGGAUCCUGGGGGGGAGGGUCAGUGCUCCAUGAAGACAGGAGAGGCCACCACAAAGACCAGGAACACCAGGCAAGUCGGGCAAGACUGUCUAGAAGGGGGCAUCCCCCCCCCACUUAAUAAUAAAGGAAGGAAUCAUUUA